UCUGCUGUGAAAACGCGAGGCUUAACCUCGCGCCUGCAGUGGGUACGGGCAGGCUAGAGUGCGGUAGGGGAGACUGGAAUUCCUGGUGUAGCGGUGGAAUGCGCAGAUAUCAGGAGGAACACCGAUGGCGAAGGCAGGUCUCUGGGCCGUUACUGACGCUGAGGAGCGAAAGCAUGGGGAGCGAACAGGAUUAGAUACCCUGGUAGUCCAUGCCGUAAACGUUGGGCACUAGGUGUGGGACCCAUUCCACGGGUUCCGUGCCGCAGCUAACGCAUUAAGUGCCCCGCCUGGGGAGUACGGCCGCAAGGCUAAAACUCAAAGGAAUUGACGGGGGCCCGCACAAGCGGCGGAGCAUGCGGAUUAAUUCGAUGCAACGCGAAGAACCUUACCAAGGCUUGACAUACACCGGAAACAUCCAGAGAUGGGUGCCCCGCAAGGUCGGUGUACAGGUGGUGCAUGGUUGUCGUCAGCUCGUGUCGUGAGAUGUUGGGUUAAGUCCCGCAACGAGCGCAACCCUUGUCCUGUGUUGCCAGCACGUAGUGGUGGGGACUCAUAGGAGACUGCCGGGGUCAACUCGGAGGAAGGUGGGGAUGACGUCAAAUCAUCAUGCCCCUUAUGUCUUGGGCUUCACGCAUGCUACAAUGGCCGGUACAAAGGGCUGCGAUACCGCAAGGUGGAGCGAAUCCCAAAAAGCCGGUCUCAGUUCGGAUUGGGGUCUGCAAC
RNAcentral lists this ribosomal RNA (723 nucleotides) under uncultured bacterium. RNAcentral describes it as "bacterial SSU rRNA". It matches the Rfam family "Bacterial small subunit ribosomal RNA", at positions 588 to 1311 of the family's 1533-position model. The record is from RNAcentral.